CUUCAUGCCUCCCUGUUACAAACUCCCAUUAUACUGUGAGUUUGCCACAAGUUUUUAGAGGGGCAUGUUUGCUUGCCUCCUACCCUGUUAUUAUGGGCCCUGCAAUAUACCUUGCCCAAUACACGUUAAAAGGCUCCAUUCAUGUAAUGUAAGUACUUUUGUACUCCAGAAAGAGACAGCCUGCUGCUCCUAAUUCCCUGGAACUGUUUUUGGCAUGAAGCCAUGCUUGCAGCCAGUCAAAAAGAGACUUCCAUGAAACUUUUGAACCCCUGCUCUGGGUGAUUUUUGGAUAUGUUGUUCACCCAGAUCAGGGCUAUCUGGGGAUGUAACAUUUUGGGGGUAUGUUUUGUGUUGGGGUACUUUCUGAACUUUGUGAAAAUGUUUUUUUUUUUGUUUUUUUUCUUUUUUUUUUUUCUGCUUGGAUAUAAUUGAGUUACUUACAGGACUCUACUCAAUUAUCUCCCAAGCAGAGGGGAGGGAUUGUGUGCUGUACAUGGG
Molecule: non-coding RNA, 498 nt
Organism: Pelobates cultripes (western spadefoot toad)
Lineage: Eukaryota; Metazoa; Chordata; Amphibia; Anura; Pelobatidae
Source: the annotation of a GenBank genome assembly